This 71-nucleotide transfer RNA is filed under the name Marmota monax (woodchuck). RNAcentral describes it as "tRNA.Ala". Lineage: Eukaryota; Metazoa; Chordata; Mammalia; Rodentia; Sciuridae. The record is from RNAcentral.
GAGGUUGUAGCUCAGUGGUACAGCACGUGCCUAGCAUGUGCAAGGCGCUGGGUUCCAUUCUCAGCACCACG